This 514-nucleotide ribosomal RNA is filed under the name Lactiplantibacillus plantarum. RNAcentral's name for it is "bacterial SSU rRNA". It matches the Rfam family "Bacterial small subunit ribosomal RNA", at positions 996 to 1510 of the family's 1533-position model. Lineage: Bacteria; Bacillati; Bacillota; Bacilli; Lactobacillales; Lactobacillaceae. The record is from RNAcentral.
AAUCUAAGAGAUUAGACGUUCCCUUCGGGGACAUGGAUACAGGUGGUGCAUGGUUGUCGUCAGCUCGUGUCGUGAGAUGUUGGGUUAAGUCCCGCAACGAGCGCAACCCUUAUUAUCAGUUGCCAGCAUUAAGUUGGGCACUCUGGUGAGACUGCCGGUGACAAACCGGAGGAAGGUGGGGAUGACGUCAAAUCAUCAUGCCCCUUAUGACCUGGGCUACACACGUGCUACAAUGGAUGGUACAACGAGUUGCGAACUCGCGAGAGUAAGCUAAUCUCUUAAAGCCAUUCUCAGUUCGGAUUGUAGGCUGCAACUCGCCUACAUGAAGUCGGAAUCGCUAGUAAUCGCGGAUCAGCAUGCCGCGGUGAAUACGUUCCCGGGCCUUGUACACACCGCCCGUCACACCAUGAGAGUUUGUAACACCCAAAGUCGGUGGGGUAACCUUUUAGGAACCAGCCGCCUAAGGUGGGACAGAUGAUUAGGGUGAAGUCGUAACAAGGUAGCCGUAGGAGAA